GACGAACGCUGGCGGCGUGCUUAACACAUGCAAGUCGAACGGAAAGGCCCUGCUUUUGUGGGGUGCUCGAGUGGCGAACGGGUGAGUAACACGUGAGUAACCUGCCCUUGACUUUGGGAUAACUUAAGGAAACUGGGGCUAAUACCGGAUAGGAGCUCCUGCUGCAUGGUGGGGGUUGGAAAGUUUCGGCGGUUGGGGAUGGACUCGCGGCUUAUCAGCUUGUUGGUGGGGUAGUGGUUUACCCAGGCAUUGACGGGUAGCCGGCCUGGGAGGGUGACCGGCCACAUUGGGACUGAGAGACGGACCAGACUCCUACGGUGGGCAGCAGUGGGGAAUAUUGCACAAUGGGCGGAAGCCUGAUGCAGCAACGCCGCGGGCGGGAUGACGGCCUGCGGGUUGUAAACCGCUUUCGCCUGUGACGAAGCGGGAGUGACGGUAAUGGGUAAAGAAGCACCGGCUAACUACGUG
RNAcentral lists this ribosomal RNA (468 nucleotides) under uncultured bacterium. RNAcentral's name for it is "partial 16S ribosomal RNA". It matches the Rfam family "Bacterial small subunit ribosomal RNA", at positions 28 to 507 of the family's 1533-position model. The record is from RNAcentral.